RNAcentral lists this unclassified non-coding RNA (428 nucleotides) under Bombus terrestris (buff-tailed bumblebee). Its description in RNAcentral is "misc RNA ENSBTSG00005025002.1". Lineage: Eukaryota; Metazoa; Arthropoda; Insecta; Hymenoptera; Apidae. The record is from RNAcentral.
UGUCGCAACGACGAGGUCAGAAAUAGGUAGAAUCUGCAAUGAGAAUCGAGACAAGGGGCGUGUUAACGUUCCUCCAAUUGAAACGAAGCUUCUACCUAGCAGUGACUUUGUUCGACGUUGCGCCUUAAUUGGCUUCCGAAGUACAUCGUCAGAUAAUGUCUACAACGUCGGAAGGGACGUGGAACUCGACGGUGGUAGACGAGGAUUCGGUUCGAGGCGACGCGAGGAACGCGCAUCGUUGAAACACGGGAGAGCACGUAUCUGCGUUUCACACUCGGCUGACCCUGAUGUCUGAUUCUGCAAGCGCCUGCGACUGACGUCUAUCCCAACGACAGGUAACUUCUGUCGACUAGAUUCCACGAUGAAACGAGUACGCUCUCUGGUAGAGCAUGUUUUGUUACUUUGAAGAGGAAAUCGAUGCCGAGGAA